GACGAACGCUGGCGGCGUGCUUAACACAUGCAAGUCGAGCGGUAAGGCCCUUUCGGGGGUACACGAGCGGCGAACGGGUGAGUAACACGUGGGUGACCUGCCCUCAGCUCUGGGAUAAGCCUGGGAAACCGGGUCUAAUACUGGAUAUGACUCCAUGACGCAUGUUGUGGGGUGGAAAGCCUUGUGCGGCUGAGGAUGGGCCCGCGGCCUAUCAGCUUGUUGGUGGGGUGAGGCCUACCAAGGCGACGACGGGUAGCCGGCCUGAGAGGGCGACCGGCCACACUGGGACUGAGACACGGCCCAGACUCCUACGGGAGGCAGCAGUGGGGAAUCUUGCGCAAUGGGCGAAAGCCUGACGCAGCGACGCCGCGUGAGGGAUGACGGCC
Molecule: ribosomal RNA, 386 nt
Filed under: uncultured bacterium
Lineage: Bacteria
Description: bacterial SSU rRNA
Rfam family: Bacterial small subunit ribosomal RNA
Source: RNAcentral